Molecule: non-coding RNA, 1157 nt
Organism: Arachis ipaensis
Lineage: Eukaryota; Viridiplantae; Streptophyta; Magnoliopsida; Fabales; Fabaceae
Source: RefSeq, a predicted model, not a curated record
GACUUGUAUGGUCGCCAAUUCAUUUGGGUAGACAAAGUGGCUAAGGAGACUCUAGCCAAUUGGAGCUUCAUAUGAGUUUGACUGAUGGUAAUCGUGAGCUUUGUUAAUGACCGACGGUAAAACCAAGUAAACAUGGCUAAUUAGCAAAUUUAAUGGAUUAGCAAAUGUAAUUUGUGAAGUUGAUUUUUUUUGAAUUUCAAACACUCCCAUAUUUGAAACAGGAGAAAAUUAAAACAGAAAUAAAAAAGAAAAAUAAAAAAUUUGUCAAAUUUGAGAGUUAAAUGAACAGACCUUUAAGACACUUGGAAAAAUUAGAGUUCAUUUUGCAGUUAUGCUUUCAGCUGCGGGAGGUGGGCGUAGGUUAUCUCCGACGCCUAUUUCUGGAAGUGGAUUCAUUGAGCAAGAUUUGGGCGAAAGAGAGACUUGUUGAUCGAGGCAACCUCAUCUUACAACAGCAACAGAAUCUACCAAAUACUAGAGCUAAGGGAUUCCAAAGCGCAGAAUCAGAAUAUUCGCUGGUGACUCGAAAAGAAAAAGCAGAAGAAGAGCGGAACCCUAAGCUUUGCUCCAUUGUCGCCUCUCCUCUCUCUCCUUCCUUUCCCCCCUCUCUCUUUCAAGGCUGGAAACCCUGAAUCUUGGCUGUCGGUGCUGGCUCUCUGUCUCCCCUAGUGUCCUCCGUCUCUCCUCCUAUGUGUCGUUGUUGUUAUGAAUCAGUGGACUCUAACUCCUGUUUGUCCUUUUUGUAUGCUCUAAUCUUGCACUAUGACAAGUUUCUUUGUAAAAUGGAGUAGCGAUAUCGCAUUUUUGGUGUCUGCUUCUAAAGGUGGAGAAUGUAUGACGAGGGUUGUUACCUCAAAUCAAGUGUGGCCUUCGAAAGAAGUUCGGCAUAGCAAGUAAGGAAGGGAUUUGCGCAGGUGACGGCGUUGCAUUUUGUGAUUAGCAUCGAAGCCAGUCAUCGGUGAGUUAGAAGUCUCACAUAUCGGGCACAUAUAGGUCUUCACUCAAAGUUGCAUUCAAGCAUUGGCAGGUUUAGGUCCAGGUAGUAUGACAAAUGAUACGAAUACAUGUUUCAUUAGUUUUCAACUGUAAACUAUAUUACAAUAAGCGGAGGAUUUGUAUUGGCCAAAAGUGAUGUCCCCAAAAAUAAUUUUUUUUUA